Molecule: ribosomal RNA, 484 nt
Filed under: uncultured bacterium
Lineage: Bacteria
Description: partial 16S ribosomal RNA
Rfam family: Bacterial small subunit ribosomal RNA
Source: RNAcentral
AUUGAACGCUGGCGGAAUGCUUUACACAUGCAAGUCGAGCGGCAGCACGGGGGCAACCCUGGUGGCGAGCGGCGAACGGGUGAGUAAUACAUCGGAGCAUGCCCAGUCGUGGGGGAUAACACUUCGAAAGAAGUGCUAAUACCGCAUACGUCCUGAGGGAGAAAGCGGGGGAUCGCAAGACCUCGCGCGAUUGGAGUGGCCGAUGUCAGAUUAGCUAGUUGGUGGGGUAAAGGCCUACCAAGGCAACGAUCUGUAGCUGGUCUGAGAGGAUGAUCAGCCACACUGGGACUGAGACACGGCCCAGACUCCUACGGGAGGCAGCAGUGGGGAAUUUUGGACAAUGGGGGCAACCCUGAUCCAGCCAGUCCGCGUGAGUGAAGAAGGCCUUCGGGUUGUAAAGCUCUUUCGGCAGGAACGAAACGGCGAGCUCUAACAUAGCUUGCUAAUGACGGUACCUGAAGAAGAAGCACCGGCUAACUACGUG